CCUACGGGAGGCAGCAGUAGGGAAUAUUGCUCAAUGGGGGAAACCCUGAAGCAGCAACGCCGCGUGGAGGAUGGAGGUUUUAGGAUUGUAAACUCCUUUUGUUAGAGAAGAUUAUGACGGUCUCUAACGAAUAAGCACCGGCUAACUCCGUGCCAGCAGCCGCGGUAAUACGGAGGGUGCGAGCGUUAAUCGGAAUUACUGGGCGUAAAGCGCUCGUAGGCGGUAUGUCAGGUCAAGGGUGAAAUCCCCGCGCUCAACGUGGGAACUGCCUUUGAAACUGGCAAACUGGAGUGUGUGAGAGGAUAGUGGAAUGCCAGGUGUAGGAGUGAAAUCCGUAGAUAUCGAGAGGAACACUCGUGGCGAAGGCGGGUUCCUGGACAGUAACUGACGCUGAGGCACGAAGGCCAGGGGAGCGAAAGGGAUUAGAUACCCCGGUAGUC
RNAcentral lists this ribosomal RNA (440 nucleotides) under uncultured bacterium. Its description in RNAcentral is "partial 16S ribosomal RNA". It matches the Rfam family "Bacterial small subunit ribosomal RNA", at positions 338 to 795 of the family's 1533-position model. The record is from RNAcentral.